GGUGCUUCGUAUAUAUUGCAUAUGUAUUUAUAUAAACAGGAUAAACUUUUGGCCAAAGAAGUAAAACAUAGACUGUGCUCUUCACUGCUGGAAGGAACUCCUCGAGGCAUUGCUGUGGCUGGAAAGAGCACUAUGUUAAUGGAAACAAUGAUAAAAACAGCUGUCUGGGAGAGUCUGUAACAAACUGCUACAUAAACAACCUUCUGAUACUGAAUUGUUGAAGUCUAACUACGUUCAAAUUGUAAAGACCAAGGACUUCAGAAGGAAGGUAAGUUAUUUUAUGGCUCAUAUAUUUCAUGCAGGUAACACGUCUGCCUAGCAAAGCCACAGAAACAUUGGGGAGAAACAGACUGGAGAUACUGUGGCCUUAUGUACGAGAACAAGAAGUUUCCCUAACAGAACAGAAAGUGUGCUUCUCAAAAUAGCUGGCAUUUGUUAACAGGCUAAGACUUGUGCAUUCUGUGUGCCUCAAUGAGCAUAUAAAAAGAAUUGAUUCAUCUCUGAGAAAUUGAUGACACUUGCUAAAAAUAAAUGAGUUUAAUAUCUCAAAAAUGUAUACACAAUGUAAGCUCUAUCUGUGCUCACAGGAUGUUCUGAUCUUUUCACUGUUUUUUCUUUAGUAAUUAUAUCAGUAGCUUAUGUAGAAAAAUAACAUCAAAAAUAGCUAACUCAGGAAACAACAAAUACUGUCUCUUUCUGUCUGGUAAUAAGAGCCAAUUCCAGCUAACUUUCACUCAACUUAUGCCUUUCUUUCAGUGAUUUUCCUUUUUCUUCUUUUGUAAAUGUUGCUUCUUUCACCUGCUAGACUCAAAGAACAGUAGGGAACAUCAUUAUGACAAUAUAUUAGAUUAUAAAAGCCUUCAAGAAAGCAUGAAAAAAUAUUUUAUAAGCAAUAAAAAGAUAGCAACUUCUUUUUACAACAUCUGUCAUCUUCUAAGGAAAGUUCACAAAAAGAAUAGUUGAAAUACCAAAUUAAAACAAAAUCCUGAAGUGUUAAGAUUAAUGAUGUAAUUCUUGAUGAAAAUUUACCAAAACCAGAAGAACAUAGAGAACAGGAACAAACUGUACUGUACAUUUACAAGACAGAAAUUUCAGUGUUUCCUGCUGAAGUCAAACUGCUAGAAUGAUGUGUAACAGCUUUUUACCAGUACAGUAAUGAGAAUACUGUGCUGAAAAGAAAUUUAAAAUUGGAGGAGGAAAUUCUUAUUAAAAAGGUGGGGGUUUGCAUGUGUGCCUGACCAAGACAUGAUAUGUACAAUCUGGUAAAAGACUAACAGAAAUUAGCAUACAGCUAUGAUCUCCAAAAAAUAAUCUCAGCCUACCUAAACAAAUUUUGAUGGAUUUUCACUGAAAAUAAUAUUUUAAACUGUUUUUCCAGGAUAUGCUGCAGCUCCAUAUAUAAAAAUAUGUAUAUUACAUAUAUAUAUAUUUGUGUAUUAGGAAAUUGAUUUUUGUUUACAUAUCUCUUUUGAAAAGCCACUGAGGAGUUAAAAACAUGUCCCUCUGCAACUUCCUGAACAACAUACUUUUUAAAAUAAAAUCUCAGAGAACUGAGAUCUGAAUAAGCAGCAGUUCCUUGAGAGCCACACUAACAUAAAAACACCUAAACAUGCUUUAUGCAAUCAUUCAUGUGUUAGGAUUAGCUGUGGUUGGCCCUUGCUAUUCCUGUGGAAACUGACAGUCCUGUCUUGUAUCAGGUGUUCUCAAACCAAACCAGUACCAAACUUGGAAUCUUUAUGGAUAAUACAAAGCAAGAAUAAUUCCAGAACAUCAUCAGCACAUUUUCUUUUACUGCAGAAAUGUGAUGUGAUUAGAGAUGUAAGCCAGUCCUACCUUUCACUUGUGGUAAGAGUGCUUUCCCUGGGAAAUCUGAUUGGUAAAAUUAUUCAGAUGGCACUUUAGUCAUAAUGUAAUUACAGUAACUUGCAUGAGAGUGGAGGAUGCACAAGGUCCAGUGGUUAGAACAGGAGGCCAGACCAUUCCUCAUCUUGCUCUUCCUUGCUGUGUGAACAUGAAAAGUUGCUCAACCUUUACAAUUUUGCUUACCCUGCAAAGGCUAUGGGUUUACAUGCAGCUAAGCAAAGGUACUAACUGUAUUGCCUCACCUGUCUCUCAUUUUCUCCCAGUUUUAUAGUACAUGAGUAAACCUGCCAGAAAGGAACAAAAAUUACCUUGUUCAUUUAGGUGGUUUUCAGCUUUAUACACACAUGCACUGGAAUUCUUAUAAAAUAUAAUUGCCUUAAUUGUUUAUCAUCCCAACAUAUAUGUUACCUUCCUAAGCUCAUUAAGAGGCUGCAGUAAAACAAGAUGCAGCAAUGCUAUGAAGGAAAAGACAAAUUUCAACCUAAGUGCCACUGGAGCAAGGAAAGGAAAUAAGGGAUCAUACUUCUGCUUUUCUGUUGAGACAAAAUAGAAAAGGAAAUAGAGCAAGGAAUGAAGUGCAAGAUAAAGAUGUGGCAACAUACAGCACUUGGCAGAGGCUCCUGCCCCUGCCCAAGGGGACUCAGAAGCCAAGGAGAUGGUUACUGCAGCAGAGGGCACUGCAGUGACAAGGAUGUGGGGUGUGGUUGUGGUACUGGCUCUGCUUAAUGGAACUACAGACUUGCUCUGCUGCAAAUUCUGGUACUUUCUGUUGCUUCAAAAUUUUUAUCCCAAAAAGACAGGAGAUGUGCUGAAUGACACUGAAAGGUCUGGGACUGGAGCCAAGCAGGCAAUGACACGUAAGCAAAAAAGGCAAUAAGGAGGAGAAUGUGGGGCAGGUGUUCCUCAAUCAGCAUUCUGCAUCCCACACCACCAGUGGGACCACGAGGAUGAGAUGGGAUGCUUAAGGAAGUGAAACCUCUAAUGAGAAAGCAUCAAAACAAAGUUUCUUACCUUCCUUAUAAUUUCUUCUUUUUCCACAGCAGCUGCAGUCAGAGGGUAUAUUUACAUAGACCUUUGCAUUCCAAGUAGGCUGGAAACACAAACUUAAUAAUUGUAUUGAUAUUCUACAAAUUUAUUAUGAACAUCAUCAAUGAACUGCAAAAAAAUUUUUCAACAAAUCUGAUGUUUGGUGGGUAAUAUAGUAUUAUUUACUUGUGCAAAUUGUGAAGUUGUGAAUGCUUGGGAGAGAAGUUUUCAAGGAGGAAAACUCAUUUUAUAGAUAUGGACUUCACAUUCAUUUAGAUGCUCUAGGCUUCUUUUUACAUGGGAAACCAAAACCUUGUGUGUUAUGUUGGAGAUACUGAGCAUGUCCACAGUGUAAGGCUGUAUUUGGUUAACAUUGUUUUAUUAUUUAAAAUAAGCAUAUAAAACUAGCUCCAACAGUUGCAUCUGUAUCCAUGGGCUUGGAUGACAUUCUGCAUGCUCUUUAAUGAACAUUGGAUUUUUUUUCAAUGAUGAUGUUGGAUGAAUAGAGUCUUCUGCUUUUUGUCAAUGGAAUUUUAUAAGAGUGCAGGAAUUUAGGUUUUGUUAAUGUGAUGGUCAGUUUAUUUAACAUGAUGGUCAAGCAUAUACAAGUGCAAAGGAUUUUAUUCUUUAUUAUCUGUGGUUUAGAAUUUUCACUGUGUGAAAUAACAAGGACAUGCUUGCAGCCACCUGGAGAAGUAUUUCAAUCUUGCUUUCCAUUCUGAUAUCACAGGUUUCAAAAUGAGAAUUUUUCCUCUAUCACCUUGACAAGUCACAUUACUAACUAAAAUAGUGGACUGAAAUGCUGCCAAGACAUUUAAAAAAUACACAUUUCUUUUUUUAAAGACAGCUAUCCUGGUACCACAGUUCUAGAGCAGUUUUAUAUAGAAGGAGUAAUAUAAAAAUUGAAUGGUGAGAUGAUACCAUUUGACAGUUACAUUGGUAUUUUAGGUAUUUCUCUCAGUCAUAGAGGCUAAAAUGGGGAGUCAUUUUUAAUGUAUAAUUUGAAGAACAUUACUAGUGUGGCCACAAAUGUCAGCUCUUAGAACCAUGCCUACACAUUAUCCCCUUUUGGAUGGGAAAAAGGAGAGAGAAAGGAAUUGAAAAUUGAGACUAUAUGCAGUAGAACAAAAACUAAUUCCUGUGGGCUUUUAGGAACAUAAAAGAAAGAACAAUGUAAACAAGUGGAGAUGAAUUAUAGCAAAUUUAAUGAUAAGCUGAAAUGAUAUUUGAAAACAGUAAUCCUAAAGACAAAUAACAUUUUGUGCUUCACAUGCUAAAAGCAGUGUAUCACACAGGAAGAAAUGCUGCAUAGCUGGGGAAGGCAGACACUGAAAAUAAUCUAGGUUAUCUGGUGGGAUCAGAUCCCAACAAAAGAACAAGCUCAUCCACAAAUUUCUGAACUUUCAGGAAACAUAACAAAGAAUAAACAUUAGAAAAGCCUGACUCUGAUGGAAGUCUAAAGUGGGGCUUGAGAAUUCAAGUGCUCAUCUGUGCAGUGUUAGAUAAUAACAACAAUAGGUGAUUUCAUAUCCCACUUCUUUAAAUUUCAACCAUGUAUUACUGUGGUAACCUAUGCUGUGCUACUGAAAAUUGUUGCUAGCAUGUUCCUACUGGUAAUGCAAUUAAAUGUUGAGGGAAAACAUAAACUACAUGAAAAAUAAAACCUUGCCACAAUAAGGAGCCAAAAGGCUAAGUGGGAGAAGUCCCCAGACUGGAAUAUUAAAACCCAGACUGAACAGAACACUGUACAAUCACUUGCUAAAAACAAGGAAUAACAGGAUUCAGGCCCUGACCAUUUCUAGCUGCUGUGACAUUAAACCAAAGUUGCAAAGAACACCUACCAUUUCAGCUAUUCCUAAUGCCAUCUUCUGCUUCUGAUCAGGACACUCACAACUCCAACAAGGUUCACAUUUCUACUGUAAUAUUUGAAGAGGAGUCUGCAAAAGAUAGCAAUUGCUGAUUGAGAAGUUGCUGUGGUACAGAAUAUCAGACUGGCUGGGAGCACCUUAAAGCUCCUCUUGUUCCAAACCCUGCCACAGGCAGGGACAACUUCCACUAGACCAGGUUCCUUCAAGCCCUGUCCAGUCUGGCCUUGGACAUUUCCAAUUUACACUGAUUUUCUAGCUCAUAGUAAAGCUCUUGCUAAGUCAAAGGUGCUCUUUGUAAAUAUCCUAAUCUUCUGUGUUCGUAAGAUCUCAAUGCCUGUGACUGUGGCUAGAAAACUGUUUUCAGAAAUUAAUAGCUUUUCUUAGUACUAAAUAUUUUAUUUAAACACUGAUCCUUGAUAAAUAUUAAGGUUGUUUUGGUGGAAAACCCUAAAUAAUAGAGAUUAUUUCUUUAGUAAAACAGAAAUAACACUUUUAGUUACUAGCACAUUUCUUGUCAAGUUAAUGAAAAUCUGUCUAUGGUCAGUACAAGAGUCAGAAAUAGGAGCUGAAGAGUAACCUUGCCCUAUGUAGUUUUUCCCUGUAUGUAGGAAUUUCUGCCUACAUGUCACAGCCCAGCUUUCUUUUGCAGGCCUGCUCUCUCAAAUCCCUGGCUCUGGGCGUGGCUACUUCUGACUUGACAAUGUCCUGUUUAUAUUGUAUUUCCAGGUCAUGCAAUGCUGCACUUCAGAUGUUGGACUGACAGUAAUACACUGGGUGCUCCUCACAGUUAUGCAAGGAAAACAGAAAAGCAGGGAGUCCCUGCACAGCAUCCUGCACAAUGGCAUCACAGCAGGACUGAUCCCACAGAGCCUCCAGCUGGGCAUAGAUAUGAUAAAAUAGAUGGGCAAUAAAACAGGACCACUGAA
This is a long non-coding RNA of Passer domesticus (house sparrow), 5683 nucleotides long. RefSeq lists it as uncharacterized. The transcript has 2 exons. NCBI's taxonomy places the organism in Eukaryota, Metazoa, Chordata, Aves, Passeriformes, Passeridae. The record is from RefSeq and is a predicted model, not a curated record.